GAGGUGUUAGUAAAAAUAUUACAUAGUCUUGUCAAGACUAAAUUACAGGUUAAAGCCCAGUACACCUCA
Molecule: transfer RNA, 69 nt
Filed under: Corvus splendens (House crow)
Lineage: Eukaryota; Metazoa; Chordata; Aves; Passeriformes; Corvidae
Description: tRNA-Asp
Source: RNAcentral